ACGGGAGGCAGCAGUGGGGGAUAUUGCACAAUGGGGGAAACCCUGAUGCAGCGACGCCGCGUGAGUGAAGAAGUAUUUCGGUAUGUAAAGCUCUAUCAGCAGGAAAGAUAAUGACGGUACCUGACUAAGAAGCACCGGCUAAAUACGUGCCAGCAGCCGCGGUAAUACGUAUGGUGCAAGCGUUAUCCGGAUUUACUGGGUGUAAAGGGAGCGCAGACGGCAUGGCAAGCCAGAUGUGAAAUGCGGGGGCUCAACUCCUGAACUGCAUUUGGAACUGUCAAGCUAGAGUAUCGGAGAGGUAAGUGGAAUUCCUAGUGUAGCGGUGAAAUGCGUAGAUAUUAGGAGGAACACCAGUGGCGAAGGCGGCUUACUGGACGAUAACUGACGUUGAGGCUCGAAAGCGUGGGGAGCAAGCAGGAUUGAUACCCUGGUA
RNAcentral lists this ribosomal RNA (433 nucleotides) under uncultured bacterium. Its description in RNAcentral is "partial 16S ribosomal RNA". It matches the Rfam family "Bacterial small subunit ribosomal RNA", at positions 341 to 792 of the family's 1533-position model. The record is from RNAcentral.